GACGAACGCUGGCGGCGUGCCUAAUACAUGCAAGUUGAGCGAUGAAGCUUGGUGCUUGCACCAAUUUGAAGAGCAGCGAACGGGUGAGUAACGCGUGGGGAAUCUGCCUUUGAGCGGGGGACAACAUUUGGAAACGAAUGCUAAUACCGCAUAAUAACUUUAAACAUAAGUUUUAAGUUUGAAAGAUGCAAUUGCAUCACUCAAAGAUGAUCCCGCGUUGUAUUAGCUAGUUGGUGAGGUAAAGGCUCACCAAGGCGAUGAUACAUAGCCGACCUGAGAGGGUGAUCGGCCACAUUGGGACUGAGACACGGCCCAAACUCCUACGGGAGGCGGCAGUAGGGAAUCUUCGGCAAUGGACGAAAGUCUGACCGAGCAACGCCGCGUGAGUGAAGAAGGUUUUCGGAUCGUAAAACUCUGUUGGUAGAGAAGAACGUUGGUGAGAGUGGAAAGCUCAUCAAGUGACGGUAACUACCCAGAAAGGGACGGCUAACUACGUG
Molecule: ribosomal RNA, 497 nt
Filed under: uncultured bacterium
Lineage: Bacteria
Description: partial 16S ribosomal RNA
Rfam family: Bacterial small subunit ribosomal RNA
Source: RNAcentral